CGAGCACGUGCCGUCUGGAGCGCGUUUUAGCCUUCUUCGCUCGGCUAUAAGACGACGACGACGAGCGUGAAGUUUUGCGCGACAGCGGACGACGAAAGGCUGCUGAGCUGCUUCGACUGAGGAACGAAGAUGAGGACCUCGCUCCUUCCCACCCUGUUGGUCGUGCUGGCGCUGGCCGCGUGUAUAUCUGCCACUAGCCCUCCAAGAUGCGAAAGUGUGAAUUGCGCAGAAGCGAGAUGCCCGCCCGCCGA
Dermacentor albipictus is the source of this 251-nucleotide non-coding RNA. The record is from RefSeq and is a predicted model, not a curated record. Lineage: Eukaryota; Metazoa; Arthropoda; Arachnida; Ixodida; Ixodidae.